CCUACGGGCGGCAGCAGUGAGGAAUAUUGGUCAAUGGACGAGAGUCUGAACCAGCCAAGUAGCGUGAAGGAUGACUGCCCUAUGUGUUGUAAACUUCUUUUAUAUGGGAAUAAAAUGUUCCACGUGUGGGAUUUUGUAUGUACCAUAUGAAUAAGGAACGGCUAACUACGUGCCAGCAGCCGCGGUAAUACGGAGGGUCCGAGCGUUAUCCGGAUUUAGUGGGUUUAAAGGGAGCGUAGGUGGAUUGGUAAGGCCGUUGUGAAAGUUUGCGGCUCAACCGUAAAAUUGCAGUUGAAACUGGCAGUCUUGAGUACAGUAGAGGUGGGCGGAAUUCGUGGUGUAGCGGUGAAAUGCUUAGAUAUCACGAAGAACUCCGAUGGCGAAGGCAGUUCACUGGACUGCAACUGACACUGAGGCUCGAAAGUGUGGGUAUCAAACAGGAUUAGAUACCCUGGUAGUC
This 460-nucleotide ribosomal RNA is filed under the name uncultured bacterium. RNAcentral's name for it is "partial 16S ribosomal RNA". It matches the Rfam family "Bacterial small subunit ribosomal RNA", at positions 338 to 795 of the family's 1533-position model. The record is from RNAcentral.